This is a long non-coding RNA of Phodopus roborovskii (desert hamster), 654 nucleotides long. RefSeq lists it as uncharacterized. Lineage: Eukaryota; Metazoa; Chordata; Mammalia; Rodentia; Cricetidae. The record is from RefSeq and is a predicted model, not a curated record. The transcript is spliced from 3 exons.
GCUGGCGUGCUUCAGCUCGGUGGACUCCGGUCUAGCCGAGGCUCCAGAGCCCGCGUCUCCCAGCUGCUUCUCCUCUUCCAGCUCCGGGCCUCGCCCGCCUCUCCCGGUUUCCUUCCCGAACCAGCUUCCAAACUGGCGCGCUGGGGUGGGAUGGUCACGUCUCUGCUCCACGCCGCCUCUUUCUCAGGUAUAUAUAUAUGGCCAAAGAACCAGGUAUGCCAACAAGAACUUGAAGUCAGGUGUUCAUAGUAGUCCAGAGGAGGAAACAGAUCAAACCCUCCACCCAUUAAUGGAUAAUGUGAUCCGCCCAUUCAGUGGAAUAUUAUUUACCACAGAAAAGGAAUGAGUGUCAUCCCAUGCUACAAUUCAGAUGCAGUACUUUACCCAAGUUCCUGUGGUUUCUUCCCACGCUGUCCAGUGUUCUUCCCCUAUACCAAGCUAACAGUGGAGGAGGAUGGUGGUUGUGUCUCAGGCAUCCUAGGAGGAAGGACUGGAUCUCUGGAGCCCAGAGACAUCAAGAGUGAACACAGAAGAGGAGGUGGAGGGUCCUGACAGAACAGAACACUCAGGACUGUCUUCAGGUAAGGAUCCUGGCUUGGCUGUAGAGCUGAGGGGCUGGGGCAGAGGCUGGGGCAGCCUGAAGAGAAGUGUCAU